UACAGAGGGUGCAAGCGUUAAUCGGAAUUACUGGGCGUAAAGCGUGCGUAGACGGUUAUGUAAGUCAGGUGUGAAAGCCCCGGGCUCAACCUGGGAAUUGCAUUUGAGACUGCAUAGCUAGGGUGCGGAAGAGGGAAGCGGAAUUUCCGGUGUAGCGGUGAAAUGCGUAGAUAUCGGAAGGAACAUCAGUGGCGAAAGCGGCUUCCUGGUCCAGCACCGACGUUCAGGCACGAAAGCGUGGGGAGCAAACAGG
RNAcentral lists this ribosomal RNA (253 nucleotides) under uncultured bacterium. RNAcentral describes it as "partial 16S ribosomal RNA". It matches the Rfam family "Bacterial small subunit ribosomal RNA", at positions 524 to 776 of the family's 1533-position model. The record is from RNAcentral.